CAGCCGCCGCGGUAAUACAGAGGGUGCGAGCGUUAAUCGGAUUUACUGGGCGUAAAGCGUGCGUAGGCGGCUAAUUGAGUCGGAUGUGAAAUCCCCGAGCUUAACUUGGGAAUUGCAUUCGAUACUGGUUAGCUAGAGUGUGGGAGAGGAUGGUAGAAUUCCAGGUGUAGCGGUGAAAUGCGUAGAGAUCUGGAGGAAUACCGAUGGCGAAGGCAGCCAUCUGGCCUAAUACUGACGCUGAGGUACGAAAGCAUGGGGAGCAAACAGGAUUAGAUACCCCCUGUAGUCCCUGUCUCUUAUA
Molecule: ribosomal RNA, 301 nt
Filed under: uncultured bacterium
Lineage: Bacteria
Description: partial 16S ribosomal RNA
Rfam family: Bacterial small subunit ribosomal RNA
Source: RNAcentral